RNAcentral lists this transfer RNA (56 nucleotides) under Dictyoglomus sp. Its description in RNAcentral is "tRNA-Ser". It matches the Rfam family "tRNA", at positions 20 to 71 of the family's 71-position model. From Rfam's summary of the family: Transfer RNA (tRNA) molecules are approximately 80 nucleotides in length. Their secondary structure includes four short double-helical elements and three loops (D, anti-codon, and T loops). Further hydrogen bonds mediate the characteristic L-shaped molecular structure. tRNAs have two regions of fundamental functional importance: the anti-codon, which is responsible for specific mRNA codon recognition, and the 3' end, to which the tRNAs corresponding amino acid is attached (by aminoacyl-tRNA synthetases). tRNAs cope with the degeneracy of the genetic code in two manners: having more than one tRNA (with a specific anti-codon) for a particular amino acid; and 'wobble' base-pairing, i.e. permitting non-standard base-pairing at the 3rd anti-codon position. Lineage: Bacteria; Pseudomonadati; Dictyoglomota; Dictyoglomia; Dictyoglomales; Dictyoglomaceae. The record is from RNAcentral.
AGAGCGGCCGGCUGUUAACCGGCGGGUUGCAGGUUCGAAUCCUGCCCGAGGAGCCA